GAAGCCAUGCAUGCCCGCUCACCCGGCACGCGGCGGACGGCUCAGGACGACGGUUGCACCCCCCGCGGCGGUCCCUGCUAGCCGGACACCGCUGGCCACCCGGCGCCAAGACGUGCGCGCAGGGGC
Molecule: ribosomal RNA, 126 nt
Filed under: Giardia duodenalis
Lineage: Eukaryota; Fornicata; Diplomonadida; Hexamitidae
Description: Giardia intestinalis partial small subunit ribosomal RNA
Source: RNAcentral